This 1394-nucleotide long non-coding RNA is filed under the name Sus scrofa (pig). RNAcentral's name for it is "lncRNA (ENSSSCG00030009311.1)". The record is from RNAcentral. Lineage: Eukaryota; Metazoa; Chordata; Mammalia; Artiodactyla; Suidae.
GGUCCACGAGGGAGGGCCAUGGGAGAGGCUGCCGAGAGCAGGGCUGGCAACCUGUUGGGUCCCUGGCAGCCUAGCCCCCAGCGUGGCCCAGAAGGACCUCCAACAGAUUAAGGUUUAAACAGAAGAGGACUGGACAAUCUCAACAGAUACAGAAAAGGCGUGUAUGCAGAGGGAACCUGUUACAGGCUGAGCUGCGUUGCCCUCAAGUUCAAGCCUUAACGUCGCAGCCCUGGUCCCUCCGCCCUCCGCUGGCCUCCCCCCCAGGAGGCCCCCACCAACAGGGUCCCACUGAAUAAUUACCCUCGGGAUGUGAUGGGCUGACACUGCCUCCUGACGUCGACGGCUGAGAAAGAUGCUCUUUUUCUAUCCCUCAAACGGUCAACUUUUUCGUUUGUUUUUGUUUGUUUUUGCUUUUUUUAAGGCCGCACCCCAGACACAUAGAGGUCCCCAGGCUAAGGGUUGCAUUGGAGCUACAGCUGCCUGCCUACACCACAGCCUCAGCAACGCCAGAUCCAAGUCGCGUCUGAGACCUACACCACAGCUCACAGCAAUGCCGGAUCCUUAACUCACUGAGCAAGGCCAGGGAUCGAACCUGUGGAUGCUAGUCAAAUGGGUUAACCGCUGAGCCAUGCCGGGAAUUCCUGGUCGGUCAAAUUUCCUCACUGCUCUUUCUUUUUCAAAGUCCUGUGUCUGCUUGGGGUGACCUCACGGUAAUUUUCCUAUGGAAGGAGGCUUCUGAGAGGAUAAGGACUCUGACACCUGUUUAGAGAGAGGGGUUCCUGAUUCUGGGGUCCGAGGAGGGCUUCCGAGGGUCUGGGGACCACCUGCAAUUGUCCAGCAAACAACACAUCCACGCACACGGAUAGGCAUCUAUUGUCCCCCAAGAAAGGGAGUCGCUAGUUUUCAGCAGAAGUUCAAGGGGAAACUGUAUCCCAGAGAAGAGUAGCAAAUGUUCACGGAGAAGCAGUGGAUACCCGAGGUCCCUGGCCUGGAGCUCAUGACCCCUUAGGGUCUAUGGAGACAAUUCAGGAAGCCCAGGAGCUGAGACCAGGUCAAUUUCAAUCUUUAGUUCAUAGCUAUUUCUCCACUCUAUUAAAACCGUUGCAGGUAUCUCGAAAUAUUCCUAGCACUCUUCAUUCCUCAGAAAUUACGGUGUCUCUAUCACAUCUUUCUGGACUCCACGUUGGUACUCCCCUCCUGUAAGGGAUAAAAACCCCUAUAGGACAAUGUGGGGUGGGGAGGGCUCUUCUUCCGCCUCCCAGCUGUCCUGGGAGCUGUUGCUUUCCUGUCAUAAAGACUUCGCUUGCUUAAAAAAAAAAAAUCCAGAAAUCGUGGUGGUUUUAAACCAGCAACUAUGCUGUCUUUAAUGCAUUAAUAAAGAAGCUCAUAUACCC